CACACACACACACACACACACACAGCUCCAAGUCAUCUGAGAGAGAGCUUCUGGAACUGGCCAAGAGAAUUUUAGCUUGACCCAAGGAAAUGAAGCAAAGACUACAUGUCCAUGGAUUCUGUCACAUGAUAAACAGCUCCCCUCCUCUCCUCUCCCCUGCAUGCCCCAUGCCUAUCUUCCAGAGUAUCAUGGAUGCUGUCCACACUAGAGAACUCUUGGAGACAGCAUCUUCAGCUCAGUAGAGUAAAACCCCAAAUGCAAAGGUUUGUUUCCAUUCCAGACUGCAGAGCCCACAUAUUGCCUUUCGAUCCAUCGUGCCCUGGUACCUGCUUGGCUUGGAGCUGUAGCCCCUGAAUUACUGCAACAGUCUCCUGUCUUCUGGGUGUCAGGGGAGUGUGCCAAGAAAGGGGACCCCAGCUUAGCCAAUUCAGGGAUGCAUCGUCCAAAGUAGAUUCAUGAACAAUUCUUUUUUUUUUUUUUUUUUUUUUUUUGGUUUUUAAGAGACAGGGUUUGUCUGUAUAGCCCUGGCUGUCCUGGAACUCACUUUGUAGACCAGGCUGGCCUCGAACUCAGAAAUCUGCCUGCCUCUGCCUCCCAAGUGCUGGGAUUAAAGGCGUGUGCCACCACGCCCGGCUUUCAUGAACAAUUCUAAAACCAACCCUAAGUCAGAUUGCUAUUUUCACCAGCAUUGGUGGUAAAAUGCAUCCCCUGACCCAUGGACCAUGAAACCACCUCUCUGCAAAGCUGGCCAUACACAACUACCACCUCCACAGGCAGCUAGCCUUUCUCAUUGCUGUCUUACUUCAGCCGGAGGCUUCACUCCCAGAGAGAAGCUCGCCUGAACCAGAAGCUAAAAGUCCACAGCUGCUGUUUUAAUGCCCUUAGCUUGGAUGUGUGAGUUACUCAGCAUAAGCUAACAGAUGCACUGUCAGUGUGGGAGCUGCCUUUCCUGGAGAGUUAUCAUUGCAUAUGAGUUUGUUUUUUUUUUAAUGUCCUCCUGUUGGUUUGCUUUUAAAAGCCAUUGUCAAGGCUUCAAGGCUGAGGAGAGAGCUCAGUCAGUAAAGUGAUUGCCUUGCAAGUACGAAGACCUGAAUUCAAUCCUCAGAACUCACGUUUAAAAAAGCAAAGCCACGCAGAAUGGUGUGGGAUUAUAACCCCAGCCCUGGAAAGACAGAGACAAGAGACAGGAGAUGGCUAGGCUCAGUGGCCUAGCUGUCUAGACUACUUGGCAAGCUCCAGCCAGUGAGAAAUCUUAUCUCAAAACACAAAAUGGACAACCUUCCUAAGGAAUGGCAUGGGGUUGUCUGCUGGCCUCCACAUGCACUCAUACACACACACACACACACACACACACACAGAGAGAGAGAGAGAGAGAGAGAGAGAGAGAGAGAGAGAGAGAGAAAGAGAGAGAGAGGGAGAGAGACAGAGAAAGACAGAGAGAGAGAGAGAGACAGAGAGAGAGCUACACAUAUACAUAUGCAUAGUCAGAAGCAGCCAACAGCUCCCCUAGGGAUGAAGGACAGAGUGACCACAAGCAACUUCACACAUGCCACUACGGGGGCAUUAUUUGAUUUUAAAGCCACACCCAUUUCAGAAUGGAGCAGUGGGACAGAGAGGACUAUGCUGCCUUGAGUGAGAAGCCUUUCUACUGCGGAGCCCAGAUUAUGUGCUAACCCCACUGAUCUGCAUUAGAACACCCCAGGAAGGCCUGUGGUGUGAGAUACAGCAAAAUAAGGGUCUCUUGUUUUAUUGGGGGGGAUGUGGUAAGGCUAGAAAUGGAAUCCAGAGGCUUACCUAGUUACAGUCUACCUCUGAACCUUAUAGUUCCCCAUUUUUAAGUUCAAAAUAGACUAAAAGGUAUAGGAAAUUACCCAAGGUCCCAAUGUCACCAAAGGGGGUUGAGGGACAGGCACAGAACUAGAUCAGCAGAUACAGGGACUUGCGCAGUCUCCACUCAGCCUCACACAGCACCUAGCUAGGGUCAUUUCUUCCAAGUCUAAGCUGGUACAUUGCCUCUUAGUCAAGAAAAAAAAAGUGUAAAUUAACCCUUUGGGCUCCAAGACCCACCUCUGCUACCUAGCAGGUGUCCCUAAGCAGCCAUGGAGCCCUGGGGCAGUCAAGCCAUCUCUCAGUUCCUCAGGUCUUCUUCUCACCGGUACACAGAAGUAGAGCAGAGCACAGAUCAGGUCCCUCCCAGCACCUGUGGCUUCGAUGAAGUCUAUCUCUCCCACAGACUGACCAGCCUGGACCUUCCACACCCACUAAUGGUCUUAGACUGACUCAAGUUCAGUGGUAACAGAACCAUUAUGGGGGUAAGUCCGGGAAUACCAACCUGCCUGCCCGGGGCUCACCCUUGUGGGUGACAGGCAGGGAGGGGCUUGCUGUGAUGUUCUCCAGGCCACUCUGACAGGUAAAGAGUUACCAAGCCAGAAAAGCUGGCUUGGUAAAGAGUUGCCAAACAGCUGCAGGAACCGCUCUGCCUGUCUGUCUGCCCCUUCCUUCCUUCCUUCGCUCAAGAAAGGAGAGUUAGCCUUUUUCCCUCCUCCUCUCCCCUCUCUCCAAAUCUUCCUACCCAGCAGAAGUCACAGCCACACAAGGGACUGUUGUGUAAGCGGAGAGAGACAGAGACAGGGCUGCAUUGCUAGCUGAGAGUGAGCUUUUCCCGAAAGCUGGAACUGGGGAGCAGAAGUCACCGAGGACACAACUGUCCUCCGUGCCAACCCACAGUGCGCAAGCCCCGGUGCAGGAAUCUGCUGACAGUGGCUUCUGCUUGGGGACAAAGCUGCAUUUCACAGGUACAGGGGAUGGUAGCCGCAGUCUUGGUCCUCUGCCCUGUGCAGCAGAGGUACUGCAAGGCCCACCUGCACUGCCAAGAAGCAAAGCUCCACCCCCUCCCUCCUCCCGAGCAUCCCAGGAUAGAGGCUGCAGGAGCCCCACGCAGAAGCCUGCAGCAGCUAGGAGCUUCUCCAGGACACUGCCUAGUCUGGGCAAGGGAAGAAAAGGUUUGGAGGAGAAAAGAGAGAGGAAGAUAGCCCUUGGUUGGAGUUGGAGAGGGAGGCGGAACCCAUAGUUGGCAGCCAGCUGGGGGUGGAGGGGUAGGGGGAAGUCAUGGUUUCUGGGUAUGCCUUGGUUCUCUGUUGGGAUUCACAUCAAACAGGGAACUCCCAGUUCCAGUGAUGCCAACCCUGUGCAGUAGCCUCACAUGAAGGACUCGGGUGAACUAUGGGGCUUUUGAAGAGGUGGGUAGUGGACACAGGGAUAAGGGACACUCUCGAGGUGGAUACAAGCUGGUGAUGGGUGGCUGUGGGGGAGACAGGACACAGUAGUGGGGCUGUUCCAGUUUAGAUGGGACUCUCCCGGAACUCUCGAGGUGCUGGAGUUUCUACAGAGUAUCAUCAGGGGAAGGGGCUUAGCCUGAGAGCUGAGAGUCCAAGGACCGUUGUCAGAACACUGGGGUUAACAUGCUGCGGGCUGCCAGGCUGCACGUCAGUGCCAUUCCCUAACUGUGCUGUGGGAGAGCAGGCAGGAGGUGGCACAGAUGCUGGCUCACAGGGAGGCUCUCUGAGGACCAGGGGUGGUGGCAAAGGCAGGAGAGGCAGUGAUGGAGGCUGUGACUGUCUCACCUUGGACCACUCUCAGGGGUAGGAGACCACCCCUUUCACAAGGGCUUGGGUUGUAGCUCAACAGCAUGUUAUGGAUCGCUGAGUUUGAGUUUCAUCACUGCCAAUAACUAUAUACCCGAUCAGGCAAGUGAAUGAAUGAGUAGCCCCGGGCAGGGUGCUGCUAAUGAAGGGUAAUGCUCUGUCAUCUUGGGCAACUGGGUCUGCCUCUUCCAGCCAAGGACAAUCAUGAUAUUGCCUACUGCACUGCUGGUUCUCACAGAUUGUUAUGGUAGUCUACAGUUUAAAAAAUUAUAUACAAGAAGUGCCAUUCAAUGUAAAGGUGUGACAUUGUCACCACCAAAAUUUCUCUGGCUGGUGGUACUGGAUUCUAGAGUCUCCUAUCAGUCUCUUGAGAAGAUUUUUAAAUCCCGUACCUAGACACCAAUUUGGGUCAAUUAUGUAAAUUCAGCUUGAUAGGCCACAAAAGGGCAGGAUGUGAGAGCCUGGUGCGUGACGAGGGUGGAGAUCUAUUUUCUGGGGUCUUCCCGAUCUUCUGAUACCUUGAUGCUACCACUGGCCUUGCCUGUGAGGGAGGCACAUGCAUCCAGCUGGCAAUAUUUCAGAUCUCUCCCAGAGCUGCUGUGUCCCGUUUCUGCCAUCUAUAGAUUCACUCAAAUUCCCAUCACAAAUACUUAAAGGUUUGGUACCUCUGUACAGAGUUAUCAUAGAUUGUUUGUUUGUUUGUUUGUUUGUUCGUUUGUUUUUUGAGACAGGGUUUCUCUGUAUAGCCUUGGCAGUCCUGGAACUCACAUUGUAGACCAGGCAAGCCUCGAACUCAGAAAUCCACCUGCCUCUGCCUCCCAAGUGCUGGGAUUAAAGGCGUGCGCCACCACUGCCAGGUUUAUCAUAGACUUUUUCUUGUCAUCAUUCUCUAAACAAUACCAAGCAAGUACCAACACAGAGCAGUACAGAAAAUUACAAGGGAUGAUUUAAAUUUGGGGAAAAAAGGGAGGAGUUGUCUGAGUAUCCAUGGAUGUUGGUAUCUGUGAAGGUCUAAAAACAAAUGCCUCUGCGAUUCCAAGAGCUGAACACAUUCAGCAAGUAAUAGAAGCAGUAGAGCUGUGUCUCAGGGAAGGUCGCCAGGUCAGAGCCUUGUCUGCUGGGGGAAGAACCUCACCUCCAAUGCCACCCACAGCUGUGUGCUCUGAAGGUGGAGUUACUCCUGUUCCCCUCCACCAGAGUGACAGACUGCCCAGGUAAAGAAUGAGGGGAGAUUAAGAGAGAAGGGAAUACAAAUGAGCUAUGGUAGCCAAGAGCAUCCCCACGCCUUCAUUUGCUGUCUGUGUGCCUCAAUUUCCCAGGUAGUUCUAGCAUUCUGUCAACAGCUUGUUUGGGGAUGCUCACAUCAUGUUCUCUCUGAUGCUCUGCUCCAUUCACACACACACACACACACACACACACACACACACACACACACCUCAUCAAACACCAAAAUGGGAAAAUGGAGAAGAUGGCAAGAGCCUAUGAACUCCUAUUGGCAACUGUGUUCCUGAGAAAUACAGAUGACGUGAUCCUACCAGGCACCCCUGAAGCUGUUCAAUUCAGUUCUUUCAUCUCACAGGGGUGACAUUAGCUUAGUAAUUGAACAAGGGAGUCCAUUGGAUGACUAUCUAGGUCAAAAUGCAACCACCUUACUUCCUAGUAUAAAGUGUGUGAACGGUGAACAACUGGGCAGAUAAGACAGGGUAUGCAAGGCACACAGCAUUUGUUUCAGAUGGGGAGAGCAGGGUCCUAGAAAAUGACUUCAUCUGCCCAACUACCUGACCCUGGAGAGCCUAAGGAGAGAGUACUAUGUGGGAGCAAGUAUCCAUAUUGAGUGUUCCAAGUCAGUGGUUUUGUCUCACUGUCACUGAGAGCUUUGAUAGGAUGAGUUGUUCUUAUUUUAUUUGUACUGUAUUUUUUAAAAGAUGUUUUAAAACAGUAUUUAAUUAUGGGUGGAUGUAUAGGUCUGCAUGUGGGUAUAUGCACAUGUGUGCAGGUGCCUGCUGAGACUAAAGGUCUCAUAUUCCCUGGAGCUGGAGUUACAGAGGCUCGUGAGUAGCCCAGUGAGGGUACUGAAAAACAAAUGUGGGUCCUCUAGAAGAGAAGCAAGUGCUUUUAACUGCUGAGCCAUCUCUCCAACCCCUCUAGUCACUCCUUGAUAAAAUAUCUUUUCUUUUUCUUUAUUUGCCCAUUUGUUUACAAUGUUUCUUGAUUCACCUGGGCUAGUCCAGAGUUCACUAUGUAGUCAAGGAUAACUUUGAACUCCUGACCCUCCUACCUCUACCUCCUAGGUGCUGAGAUUGCAGGUGCUGUGCCCACCAUAUCUAGAUUAAGAUGCCUUUUAAAUGAUAUGAUGCAUGACUUCUGCAGUGAAACAGAUGCAGGGGCAGCUGGGCUAGAUGAAAAUCUCCGCCUCGAUGUCUUGGAUGUGGGACUCUGGAGCCAUUUACUGCUUGAAUUGGAUUGCUUUUCAUAAUGAGUAGAGAUGUGACUUUUAGAGUUAGAACUCAAAAUGUUUGGUUUUGGCAACAUGUUCCAAGUAAAUCAGCAAUUUAGAAGCCUACUAUGCUGGCUACUCUUAAUCGUCAACUUGAUACACUCUGAAACCACCUUGGAAGAGAGUCUUAAUAAGAAAUUAUCUGGAUCAGAUUGUCCUGAAGGCAUGUGUAUGGAGAAUGUCUGAGGAAUUAUCUGGAUGAGAUUAGCCAGUAGACACUUCUGUAGGAGAAUUUCUUAGAAUGUCUUGGUUGUUAAUGGAUACAAAAAGACUCAGCCCAUUAUGGGCAGAACCAUUCCCUAGACAAGGGAUUCCUGAAGAGGAAAGGGCUAGCUGAGCACUAGGCAUGCAUCCAUUCAUUUCUCUCUGCUCUUGACUGGGCAAGUGAUGUGACCAGCUGUCUUAAGCAAUUGUUGCCUUGAUUUCCCUGCAAGAAUUGACUAUAACAUGGAAUUGUGAGCUAAAAUAACACUUUUCUCCACUACAUUGUUUUUGUUGAGGCAUUUUACUAUAGUACCAGAAAUGAAAUUAGGACAUCCAUACAAGUUUUCUACAUAUCAGGUCCUACCCCUGAACGCUGAAAGGGCAACAGGAGCCAAGGAUGAUGACUGAUAUAUCAAAGAGGGUUACAAUAGGGUAGAAUGGGGUCCAACCUGAAGCUUCCUGAGCAAAGUUGUGUUCUACCCUAAAGCCACUGUAUGGCACACAAUGCAAUGCCUGCCUCACAUGUGGGGCACUCUCCCAGGAAUAGAGAACCAGUUCUGACUUUAAGGAUACCAGAGUGUUGACCGAUCUUUCUCCCCGCUGCGGUGGGCGCCUUUCCAAACGCCUGAGAUGCUGCUUAGCAUCUGGCUGGUUUGCAUCCCCUGCUUCUCCUUAAUAUAGAAAAGCCUGUCCAUGCCCAACAUUUUUCCAAUCACAAUGCCAAGGUGUGUGACACAGCCAAAAAGCAAUGAGUGUUUAUUUUGCAGCAUAGAAAUAGAAAGAAUGGUCUGGGAACUCUUAAUAACUAAGAUAGACCUCAUCUAAGAAAAACAAAAAGGAAAUAAAAAAGAGAUGCAGGAAAGAUGAGAAGGAGAGGGAUAGAGGGAUGGAGGGACAGAGGGAUGGAGGGACAGAUGGAUGGAGGGACAGAGGGAUGGAGGGGAGUGAGAGGAAAGCGAGGGAGAGGAAGAAGGUGGGAAAUAGAAAAGCAGAUUUAUCACACCUAAUAGUGGAUAAAAUUAUUACGUCCUCCUCAAUCUGUCUUAUAUAACCUGCUCAACAUAUUUUUUCAAUGGUAUAUUCUGCUCUUUGUCUAUAAAGUAGGAAUCUGACACAGGGUAUAUAAGCUGUGAAAUGCAAAUCAUACUCUCUGAAGUUGUAAUUGCAGCAAGCUCAUCUCUUUUUCUCAAAGAGCACUCCAAUGACAAAUGCUUAGCAACCAUGCCUGCUGGGUGUGCGGGAAGGCAGCUGUGCCUUCAGGGAAGGUGCUAGAGCAUUCACAGAAUGUUCAAACAGAAACUUAAUCAUCUGCUCCAACCAUUUCACAUCACAGGUCAAGACCAUGGGCCAGGGGAUAAGGCUCAUGUCCAUGGCUGGUACUUUCUAGAUGAACAGCAAGUGACUUCCUGAAGGUAACACAGCAGGAAGAUCCAAGGUGACAUUUGAUUCCCAUCUGCUCUGACUAUUUCUGGAUUGAAGGAUCAGAGUAACUAAAUACCAGAAACUCUUUCAAGGUUCAGGGGAUUCAGAAAAGGAGCAAUUACCACAGCACCAACAGGCGAGAGCAGCUAGUCCUCUCUCCUUUUGCCUUAGCAUGGAAGGGAAACUAUACCAGACACCUUUAAGAGGAUUGACCAGCAGCCACAAAAUGAGCCAUGUGAAAAACUAAUGGCUAGUAUCUCCAUGGGCUCAAAUGCAAUAGAGUGACAGGGCUUCCAUUCUCCAUAAGUUUCUUGAUAGACUGCUUGGGGUACACUUUUGUAUAAGUUGCAAACAAAAUUUCCUUCAAAGACAAAAAGAGGUUGGAGACAGGGCAAUACAAACUAACUGGGAAAGGACCAGAUGAAAGAAUCAAGAAGUGUUGAAUUGCUACCGGGCUUCUCAGAUCACUUCUUUUGUGUUUAUGUGCAGUGUGGGCAUCCGUGAGGCACUGUCUCUGAAAGCAGCACCUGGAGAUGCUAUCCACACAGAAUGUCAUGGAAGAUGACAUGUUCUGCACAGCCAGACACAGUGUGACCAGCCUAUAUUCCUGCCUACCCUGCCAUCAUGUGAGACAAACAGGAGGAGACCGGUGGAGUCUGGCCUUCCUCCAGAAGCUCUUUACAGUUCCUGGGAAUAUUUCACCCCGAGAUGGCGGUGCUAAUGGUGGAGCAGGAGCCUAAGACAAGGAGCCAGCCACAGACCAAUGUAACAAUACCACACUGAAGUCCAACUUGGUGAGCCAAUGAGUUUAUUGGACAGAUCGCUUAACCAGAUGGCUUCUCAGUCCACACCUGUGAAGAGGGAGUCACCACAACCUGGUCACCAGCUGGGAUUCAGGACUGAUAUGCUGGCCGCUGACUCCAGAGAAAGAAGGGCUUCCUCUUUCUGCUGUGCACGGAAGUGCUGUAAGGGCUAAGUGUGAGUUCCCUGAGUUGACUAAUGGCAUGAAGUACAAACCUCAGUUACCCUUGUUCACGACAGAAGGCAGCUUUAACUCUCCCACCUCUGAGUUGGAGAGAGGUCUCAGUGGAUGUCUUAGUUAGGGUUUUACUGCUGUGAACAGACACCAUGACCAAG
This is a long non-coding RNA of Mus musculus (house mouse), 8904 nucleotides long. RefSeq annotates it as predicted gene, 33581. The record is from RefSeq and is a predicted model, not a curated record. The transcript has 5 exons. Lineage: Eukaryota; Metazoa; Chordata; Mammalia; Rodentia; Muridae.